RNAcentral lists this long non-coding RNA (211 nucleotides) under Phoenix dactylifera (date palm). Its description in RNAcentral is "long non-coding RNA (PDAC_LNC009100)". Lineage: Eukaryota; Viridiplantae; Streptophyta; Magnoliopsida; Arecales; Arecaceae. The record is from RNAcentral.
CUUGGGUGCUUGGUGAAAUCUGGACCAUACACAAGCUAAGGUUUUAGAUUCCCCAAAAUACUGCUAAAGCUAGUAGUUUCCAAGAAUUGGUCAGAUAAGACCUAUUUACUGAUUCAAAAUCAUCCUAUCUUGCAGAAUUUCGAGAGUUGUGGAUGUUUACUUUAAUACCUUAUGGGCUUUAUCUGUAAUAUUCCAGUUUACUCGAAUUUUU